GGGGAACUUCAAUAUUUCCUACAUUUCAGUGAACAAUAGAAGGUAGGCCAUGAAGCAACGGGACAGUUGAUCCCUCGGAAGACCCGAUGAGGCAGAUGAAGAGAUAUAUGAUGUGUGAAACAGGGGGGUGUAUCUUCGCCCGUGGCAGCUACCCUGCGAAACCCUGCCUUCCCCGGUAUUUCGGGGCACCCUCAUCCAGUCACCCUAGUCAACUUCUCAGUGGAUCGCUCAGGUUCCGCACCCACCACCAGCAUCCAACGGAAUCUGCAGGGUCGACAGCGGGCCCAACUCCGUUCCUGGUCGGCUCGCAGGUUAACUUCAUCCCAGGUCACCACCGUCCAUCAACUAGAGGCGCUAUGCCUUCCACCUUCGGAAGGACUUUGACCCUAACGGGUAUCGACCCCAGGAUCUCCCGGGGGCAGUGGUCGCGCCUUACCAGUAGUGCCAAACCCAAAGAUAUAUGUAUGCACCACAGGUGGCGGCUUUUGGUAAGGCUUAACAGUAGCGAGGUUCAGCAAAACGAUACGUUAUUACAACUUAAUAAGGUACUUAUGAGCUGCUCCCAUUUGCAGGCCUAGGCUACGAUCUGAAGGAAAAACACGCACCGCGCACUCGUUGCCCCUCCACCGCUCUGCUUCAAGCUGCUGGGAUUCUUUGACUUCUGGUUGGCUCUCUUUCUUGUGCACCCGAGCCAACCACACCCGAGCGGACGCACGUACGCAUUGGGUUACCCUAACUACACCUUACGUGACGAUGGUUUUGGGCAGCAGAAGGUUACGUGUAACAAUUUUGCGUAAGCAUUGCUAUUAAAGCCCAUUUAUCAUUUAACGCUCAAGCGGGUAUUAUUGGCCCUAGGCCUGCUGUGCAGGCAGAACAGCAGCUUAGCUCGAUGUGCAUCAUUAUGUAAGAUGUAUGCAUACCAUAUAUAGCGAGCGAACGCACCCGCCGUCAACUGGCGAAAUUUGGCUUGCAGCUGCCCUAUGGCAUAAAACGGGGGAUAACUCCCCCUUAAGCGUUACCCCGCGGGUAAGGGUAGGGGUAAGUGGUUACCCAUGUGGGUUUGUACGAAGGGAGGUAGGCAACCUUACCCCGGGGUAGGGGUAACCUCUUACCGAGGGGAAAAAGAGGGAUUGGGGUAAUACGCUGGUUGCUUGGCUGCUACACACUUGCCUGGCCACACCUGCUGGGACUAAAGCGAUUUUCCCCACGACGGAGGAGCAGACGGAGGUAAAAGACACAACACAAGCAAGCCAUCCGCCAACCAUGCAUGCAAGCGUCCCUCUUAGGGUGCAUUUCCAGUGCGGAUUAAGGCCAGGGAUUAACCCUCUGUCCUCCAUCGAUACUUGCUCAAACGGCUAAGUUGUUGGCAAACCAACUCGCCUUUUCAACUUUUGGUUCCCUUAUGGAACAAAACUAUGUGGUAAGCUCGUAUCAAGGACUUCCGUGCCCUAAUCCCUGGCCUUAAUCCGCACUGGAAAUGCACCCUUAGCUUCUUCCCUGUCUGUACUUGCUGCUGCCUGGUUAUCGCUACCUUGCGUACAAGCGAUUCAGGACGCAUGAAUGAAGCGUAUUGCCUUAUUGUUAAUAAGGUAACUCAAAAUAAUAAUAUGAAGUACAAUACUUGUGGCCAAGGGCAG
This 1637-nucleotide long non-coding RNA is filed under the name Volvox carteri. RNAcentral's name for it is "long non-coding RNA (VCAR_LNC002005)". Lineage: Eukaryota; Viridiplantae; Chlorophyta; Chlorophyceae; Chlamydomonadales; Volvocaceae. The record is from RNAcentral.